UUCCUACGGGACGCAGCAGUAGGGAAUCUUCGGCAAUGGGGGCAACCCUGACCGAGCAACGCCGCGUGAGUGAAGAAGGUUUUCGGAUCGUAAAGCUCUGUUGUAAGAGAAGAACGUGUGUGAGAGUGGAAAGUUCACACAGUGACGGUAACUUACCAGAAAGGGACGGCUAACUACGUGCCAGCAGCCGCGGUAAUACGUAGGUCCCGAGCGUUAUCCGGAUUUAUUGGGCGUAAAGCGAGCGCAGGCGGGGUAAUAAGUCAGGUG
Molecule: ribosomal RNA, 267 nt
Filed under: uncultured bacterium
Lineage: Bacteria
Description: partial 16S ribosomal RNA
Rfam family: Bacterial small subunit ribosomal RNA
Source: RNAcentral